AUCCAGCUGAUGAAUCCCAAAUAGGACGAAACGCGCGUCCUGGAU
This is a non-coding RNA of Schistosoma mattheei, 45 nucleotides long. NCBI's taxonomy places the organism in Eukaryota, Metazoa, Platyhelminthes, Trematoda, Strigeidida, Schistosomatidae. The record is from Rfam.